ACUCAAAUGAAUUGACGGGGGCCCGCACAAGCAGUGGAGCAUGUGGUUUAAUUCGAUGCAACGCGAAGAACCUUACCUGGGCUCGAAAUGUAGAGGACUAGGCAAGAGAUUGUCUAUCCCGAAAGGGUCUCUAUAUAGGUGCUGCAUGGCUGUCGUCAGCUCGUGCCGUGAGGUGUUUGGUUAAGUCCAGCAACGAGCGCAACCCUUAUCGUUAGUUGCCAGCGCGUAAUGGCGGGAACUCUAGCGAGACUGCCUAGGUUAACUAGGAGGAAGGUGAGGAUGACGUCAAGUCCGCAUGGCCUUUAUGUCCAGGGCUACACACGUGCUACAAUGGUCGGUACAGAAGGCAGCGAAACCGCGAGGUGGAGCAAAUCCUAGAAAACCGAUCUCAGUUCGGAUUGCAGUCUGCAACUCGGCUGCAUGAAGUUGGAAUUGCUAGUAAUGGCGUGUCAGCAACAACGCCGUGAAUACGUUCCCGGGCCUUGCACACACCGCCCGU
This 499-nucleotide ribosomal RNA is filed under the name uncultured bacterium. Its description in RNAcentral is "partial 16S ribosomal RNA". It matches the Rfam family "Bacterial small subunit ribosomal RNA", at positions 899 to 1397 of the family's 1533-position model. The record is from RNAcentral.